Molecule: non-coding RNA, 82 nt
Organism: Pelobates cultripes (western spadefoot toad)
Lineage: Eukaryota; Metazoa; Chordata; Amphibia; Anura; Pelobatidae
Source: the annotation of a GenBank genome assembly
AAGGCAGCAGACAAGAAACCUGCAGGUUUUGCAAGCUGUUUUUACAGCUUGCAAAACCUGCAGGUUUCUUCUCUGCUGCCUU